Molecule: ribosomal RNA, 464 nt
Filed under: uncultured bacterium
Lineage: Bacteria
Description: bacterial SSU rRNA
Rfam family: Bacterial small subunit ribosomal RNA
Source: RNAcentral
GAUGAACGCUGGUGGUAUGCUUAACACAUGCAAGUUGAACGAUGGCUUUUCGAAGUCAUAGUGGCGGACGGGUGAGUAACGCGUAAGUUAUCAACGCUUGGGUGAGGGAUAACAAAUGGAAACGUUUGCUAAUACCCCGUAAUACUGAAAAGUUAAAGUAUGAAUAAUACUCCCGAGUACGAGCUUGCGUCUGAUUAGCUUGUUGGUGGGGUAAAGGCUUACCGAGGCUACGAUCAGUAGCUGGUUUGAGAAAACGAUCAGCCACACUGGAACUGAGACACGGAACAGACUCCUACGGGAGGCAGCAGUGGGGAAUAUUUCGCAAUGGGCGAAAGCCUGACGAAGCAAUACCACGUGGAGGAUGAAGGCCUUUGGGUUGUAAACUCCUUUUCUCAUUGAAGAAGAUCUGACGGUAUUUGAGGAAUAAGCAUCGGCUAAUUCUGUGCCAGCAGCCGCAGUAACAC